Anolis sagrei ordinatus is the source of this 3253-nucleotide non-coding RNA. The record is from RefSeq and is a predicted model, not a curated record. NCBI's taxonomy places the organism in Eukaryota, Metazoa, Chordata, Lepidosauria, Squamata, Anolidae.
UCAUGGAGCUGGAGUUUUGGUCUUGCAGAAAGAGCCAGAGCUGCUCCGGCUAGGAAUCCAGUCCAGUUUUUCCCCCCACUCUGCCUUGUGGUUAGAACUGGCUUAGGAGGAAGAGUGCUCUUUUUGCACUGUUCAUAGGUCAAAACAGCAUUUGGAUGUCAGAAUGUCACUCUAGGCCAAGUGAGGAUUUGUAAGUUCAUACAUACUUACGUUGGGAAUUUCUUAUGUAGAGGUUCUACUGUACUUCUCUUCCAAGCAGCUUUCGUUAUUGUCCAAUUUUCACAACUGUACACAGAAAUUAGGAACAUUGUGGCGUGGGUGAUUUUGACUAGUGUUUGAUAUAUAGAGCAGUUUUUAAAUAUAUAUACCUGGAGUUACACUGCUUGGACAUUACAUGAUGGAGAGAACAAAAGAAUGAAUAUAAAGUGACUUGAAUCCACUGAUAUUUUUCAGGAUGUACAGCAGCCCUGAUACCACCUGGGAAGAAAUUAAUGAGAGAGUGAGGAAUCUCCUAACCUCAGAUGAGGCCAGGCAGAGACUUUCUGUUGGAGCCACUGAUCUGGAAAUUGAUGAAGUCCUUGAAAGAAGGUCCAUCUCACUGAGGAGUUCUCCCCAGAACGAAUCAAUGGGCAAAAGAUACAACUCAUAGCUGUCCCCUGCAAGAACAAAUGCAGUAGCCUUGAGAUAUGUGUGAAGAUCCAUUGCUGGCAAGAUCAUCGUUCUGUCAAAAAUUGAUGGAUGUCUCAACUGUGCUGAAAAGUAGCCGCUGUAUUGUAUGCUUGUGCUGAUUAAAUUGUUGAUUUAUACAAUUUCAAAGAAGUGCAAACAUAUCAGUUCAGUUCAGGUUGGAGCCACGAGAGUUUUGAUGCCACGGUACAUACUCAGCUGUGAAAAGUAUUCCCCAUGAAGAAAAAAUGAGUUAUUUUACCAAUUAAAAUAAAUGGUGUGAUCAUGCUCCAUUUCAGUGUUUCCAAACUGUAGGGUAUAACCCAAUAAUCCAGGGAUGCUAUUUUGAAUUGACUAAAGAUAGAGGCAAAUUGAUUUUAAUCAUGUAGGUACUGGAGAGAUUCAUACCAAGCUGUACAACCUCUCUUUUGGGAUGCAUCUACACCAGGCAUGGGUAAACUUCGGCCCUCCAGGUGUUCUGGAGUUGAAGUCCAAAACACUUGGAGGGCCGAAGUUUGCCCAUGCCUGAUCCACUUUAACUACUGUUACUCAAUGCAAUGGAAUCAUGGGAAUUGUAGUUUUCUACAUAUUUUAGCCUUCUGUGCCAAAGAGUGCUGGUGCCUCACCAAAGUACAAAUUCAAGGAUUCCAUAGCAUUGAGCCAUGGCCAUUAAAGUGGAGUCAAAAACACUUAGAGCAGUGGUUCUCAACCUGUGGGUCCCCAGAUGUUUUGGUCUUCAAGUCCCAGAAAUCCUAACAGCUGGUAAACUGGCUGGGAUUGCUGGGAGUUGUAGGCCAAAACACCUGGGUACCCAUAGGCUGAGAACCACUGACCUAAAGCAAAGUGAAGGUGCAGUGAGGAUGCAAUGCUGUAUGUCCCUAGUUGUAAAACCUGAAUCAGAUCUGCAUCACAGUCAUGGUUCCAAUCAUAGAAUCUCAAAAUAGUAAUAGAAAUGAAGGCUUGGCUAGGUUUGCAGUAGAAGGUGUUUAAUACCUUUCCAGUCACCUUGCCAGCCUGGGGAAUUUGAAGAGAGAACUAGACAACCCAUCAAACCCCACCUUGCUCAUAAAUAAUGGCAAAUCAGUCAAGAAUAAGUCACAUGUAAUCAGUGAGCAGAUGAGGGAAAGUGGACGGAGAGUGGGGGAUAGUGUGGUCUAUAAAUACCAUCUUCACCUGACUAGAUUACCUACUAAGGAGCUGAAUCAUUUUGAGUGUGUGUAUCUGAGUCUGAAAACCAGGGAUAGACUAGGGGUUCUGUUGGUGUACCAUUCAGCCCACUGACUUCCUGGCCGAGCUCAUGGAACUGGUCUUGGAGAUGUUAUUGGAGCCACCAGACUUUUGUGUCUGGGUGAUUUCAGCAUACUACUGGAGGCCAAUCUGUUAGGUGCACCUCAGGAGUUCAUGAGAUCCAUGACAAAUAUGGGCCUAUCCCAAUUAGUUUCAAGACCAAUACAUUCAGAAGGUCAUACCCUUGAUGUGAUUUUCAGUUUGGAACAUACAAAUCUGUGGACGGAGGUGAUCAAUACCUCCAAGUCGACAUGGACAGAUCACUGUCUGGUCAUGGCUAGUAUCACAGCUACAACCUACCCCUGCAAGGGUGGAGGACCUAUUAAAAUGACCCAUCCUUGAAGGCUAAUGGAUCCUUUGAGAUUCCAACUAUACAGUCUCAGCUAAGGAUAGCAUGUCUCCUCUGAACAAAUCCCUACUUACUUAAUUACUUACUUACUUAUUUACUUAGGCGAUCUCUUGUAGCCAGAAGAUAAACAAAUGCCUAGAGGAGGUAAUGGGCUGGGUGAGGAAAAACAAAUUGAAAUUGAAUCCAGACAAAACAGAGGUGCUUGCCAUCAAGGGUCCUCAUCUGGGAAUGGAGGUGUAUCAACCAGUUCUGGGUGUGGUUACACUCUCCCUGAAAGACUGUUCACUGCUUGGGAGUGCACUUGGGCCCGUUUCUCCAAAUGUCAGCCCAGGUAGAUGUGAUGGUUAGGAGUGCUCUAUCCAAUAUAAUUUUCUGAAUCAGCUGCACCACUUGGAGGACCUAAAGGUGGUAGUGCAUGCACUGUAAUGUGCUUUAUGUAUCAAGUUCAGAAACUCCAGCUGCUUCAAAAUGUGGCAGCCAGAUUGGUUAUGGGAACAUCGAAAAAUGAGCAUAUUACACCUAUCCUAAAUUCAUUCCACUGGCUGUCAAUUAGUUUCUGGGCAAAGUACAAGACGUUGGUUUUGACCUUUAAAGCCCUACCUGGUUUGGGCCCAGGUUACCUAUAGGAUUGCCUUCUCCCAUACAAUCCACCCCAUACACUUAGGUCUUCUGUAGGACAGUUACUCCAUCCUGUCAGAACUCAGCUGGCAACCAUCACCCAGAGGACCUUUUCAUCGACCGCCUCAAGAGCUCUGACAACUAAAUUAGUUUGAAAACCAUCUAAAGACCUAUCUCUUCUGGCAGGCCUACCCAGCCAAUGUUAUGCAUUAAUUUUAAACUCAUGUCUUGUGUUUUAAUCUCUGUCUUGUGUAUUUUAUAGAAAUACAUUUUAAUAUGUAUUUUAUAGAACUAUAUUUUAAUAUAUGUAUUUAUAGAAUUUUUGCAAUGUUU